GAUGAACGCUGGCGGCGUGCCUAAUACAUGCAAGUCGAGCGAACAGAUAAGGAGCUUGCUCCUUUGACGUUAGCGGCGGACGGGUGAGUAACACGUGGGUAACCUACCUAUAAGACUGGGAUAACUUUGGGAAACCGGAGCUAAUACCGGAUAACAUUUGGAACCGCAUGGUUCUAAAGUGAAAGAUGGUUUUGCUAUCACUUAUAGAUGGACCCGCGCCGUAUUAGCUAGUUGGUAAGGUAACGGCUUACCAAGGCGACGAUACGUAGCCGACCUGAGAGGGUGAUCGGCCACACUGGAACUGAGACACGGUCCAGACUCCUACGGGAGGCAGCAGUAGGGAAUCUUCCGCAAUGGGCGAAAGCCUGACGGAGCAACGCCGCGUGAGUGAUGAAGGGUUUCGGCUCGUAAAACUCUGUUAUUAGGGAAGAACAAACGUGUAAGUAACUGUGCACGUCUUGACGGUACCUAAUCAGAAAGCCACGGCUAACUACGUG
This 497-nucleotide ribosomal RNA is filed under the name uncultured bacterium. RNAcentral's name for it is "partial 16S ribosomal RNA". It matches the Rfam family "Bacterial small subunit ribosomal RNA", at positions 28 to 507 of the family's 1533-position model. The record is from RNAcentral.